This is a long non-coding RNA of Pectinophora gossypiella (pink bollworm), 1026 nucleotides long. RefSeq lists it as uncharacterized. The transcript has 2 exons. Lineage: Eukaryota; Metazoa; Arthropoda; Insecta; Lepidoptera; Gelechiidae. The record is from RefSeq and is a predicted model, not a curated record.
AACUCAGAACAAUAACUAAAGCAUAGAAGGAAGGCUAAAAUAAGAAUUCAGAAACUAUAAACCGGCUCUCUUCUAGCUUACGACACAAACUAUGAGUGAGAAAAGGACAAAUGAUUCGCUCUUUGCUUCAUUUUUUCCGAGGUUGUCACAACAUGAAAUGUCAUUUGGACCUAUUGGACUCAUUUUAACUCGGCCAAAUACAUAGUAACAUACAUAAGAAGGUUUUACUUAUAUUUACCGAACUAUUUGACACGGUCGCGUGAACUUUGUUUACGAGUGUCUUGUGUUCAGAUUGUUUUAAGUGAUAAUUUAACAAUAUUUUUCCAAAUAAAUGGAAAGAAACUUUUAUUUAUAUCAAAUAAUUGAGUGUCUCGACUCUGUGACAUUAUGUCUUGUGUGGUAUGGGGCUGCAGCUCACAUUCAGGAAGAAAAGAAAAUAGCCAACAACUUCUGUCGUUUCAUCGAUUUCCUGUAGACGAUAACAAAGAGAAAGAAUGGAUAAUUCGCAUUAAUAGACGAAAUUGGAUUCCAAAUAAGUACAGCCGUAUUUGCUCGAAACAUUUUACUGCGGAUUCAUUUAUGUGUGUUCCUAAUUCGAAGUGGAGACGUCUUCGAGACGAUGCUAUUCCUACAUUGAACAUUAUAGAUCAGACAGAUGAAAUGGUAAUUACGGCCGAGCACCACACACCCGAAGUCUCGACGGCAAAAGGGACAAAAUUGUGGGUCCGCGUUAAAUUCCCAUAUUUCGCCAGUUUUUGGCUAGCGGCCCACUCGGCAGCCGGCCCUGCGGUUCGAGUAGUACGGGGCAGGUGCGUUGCUGCAAACCUGCAAGCGCAGGUCGCGUCCCACAAUAAAGCACGCCCCCUCUCCUAGGGUAUGAGCGUGAGCCCAUCGGGCCUCUUACCGUCUGUGCGGCUUAGACCCGGCGGUUCCAAUUUGCACGGCACGGCGAUCAACACCAGUGCACGGCGGAUGACAUCAUAAAUAAAUUCGAAUAUUACAAAAUACUUACCGAUGAAACGAUAA